Molecule: ribosomal RNA, 237 nt
Filed under: uncultured bacterium
Lineage: Bacteria
Description: partial 16S ribosomal RNA
Rfam family: Bacterial small subunit ribosomal RNA
Source: RNAcentral
GUUGUCCGGAUUUACUGGGCGUAAAGAGCGCGCAGGCGGUCGUUCAAGUCGAGUGUGAAAGCCCCCGGCUCAACUGGGGAGGGUCACUCGAUACUGAUCGACUCGAAGGCAGAAGAGGGAAGCGGAAUUCCCGGUGUAGUGGUGAAAUGCGUAGAUAUCGGGAGGAACACCAGUGGCGAAGGCGGCUUUCUGGUCUGCUCUUGACGAUGAGGCGCGAAAGCUAGGGGAGCAAACAGG